This 309-nucleotide ribosomal RNA is filed under the name Triticum aestivum (bread wheat). RNAcentral describes it as "partial small subunit ribosomal RNA". The record is from RNAcentral. Lineage: Eukaryota; Viridiplantae; Streptophyta; Magnoliopsida; Poales; Poaceae.
AUGCUUGUAGAUCAUGAAAAGAAUGCUUUAUGUGAUGGUUAUAUUGUUGAAUUAAUUCAUGGUGCUACUGAAAAUUAUUAUGAGGGAGGAACAUAUGCUUGUAGGAAUUGCAAUAAUAUCAAGUUUCCUCUCUAUGUACUUAAAGUUUUAAAGUUAUGCUUGUUUUGCCUUCCUAUGCUAGUUGAUUAUUGUUCCCAUAAGUUGUUUGCUCACAAAAUCCCUAUGCAUAGGAAGUGGGUUAGACUUAAAUGUGCUAGUCAUAUUCUUCAUGAUGCUCUUUUUAUGUUUCAAUUCUUAUCUUUUAUAUGA